RNAcentral lists this ribosomal RNA (468 nucleotides) under uncultured bacterium. RNAcentral describes it as "partial 16S ribosomal RNA". It matches the Rfam family "Bacterial small subunit ribosomal RNA", at positions 28 to 507 of the family's 1533-position model. The record is from RNAcentral.
GACGAACGCUGGCGGCGUGCUUAACACAUACAAGUCGAACGGAAAGGCCCUGCUUUUGUGGGGUGCUCGAGUGGCGAACGGGUGAGUAACACGUGAGUAACCUGCCCUUGACUUUGGGAUAACUUCAGGAAACUGGGGCUAAUACCGGAUAGGAGCUCCUGCUGCAUGGUGGGGGUUGGAAAGUUUCGGCGGUUGGGGAUGGACUCGCGGCUUAUCAGCUUGUUGGUGGGGUAGUGGCUUACCAAGGCUUUGACGGGUAGCCGGCCUGAGAGGGUGACCGGCCACAUUGGGACUGAGAUACGGCCCAGACUCCUACGGGAGGCAGCAGUGGGGCAUAUUGCACAAUGGGCGGAAGCCUGAUGCAGCAACGCCGCGUGCGGGAUGACGGCCUUCGGGUUGUAAACCGCUUUCGCCUGUGACGAAGCGUGAGUGACGGUAAUGGGUAAAGAAGCACCGGCUAACUACGUG